Molecule: ribosomal RNA, 497 nt
Filed under: uncultured bacterium
Lineage: Bacteria
Description: partial 16S ribosomal RNA
Rfam family: Bacterial small subunit ribosomal RNA
Source: RNAcentral
GAUGAACGCUGGCGGCGUGCCUAAUACAUGCAAGUCGAGCGAACAGACGAGGAGCUUGCUCCUCUGACGUUAGCGGCGGACGGGUGAGUAACACGUGGAUAACCUACCUAUAAGACUGGGAUAACUUCGGGAAACCGUAGCUAAUACCGGAUAAUAUAUUGAACCGCAUGGUUCAAUAGUGAAAGACGGUUUUGCUGUCACUUAUAGAUGGAUCCGCGCCGCAUUAGCUAGUUGGUAAGGUAACGGCUUACCAAGGCAACGAUGCGUAGCCGACCUGAGAGGGUGAUCGGCCACACUGGAACUGGGACACGGUCCAGACUCCUACGGGAGGCAGCAGUAGGGAAUCUUCCGCAAUGGGCGAAAGCCUGACGGAGCAACGCCGCGUGAGUGAUGAAGGUCUUCGGAUCGUAAAACUCUGUUAUUAGGGAAGAACAAAUGUGUAAGUAACUAUGCACGUCUUGACGGUACCUAAUCAGAAAGCCACGGCUAACUACGUG